CGGAAAACAGCCAAAACAGAUUGUGGGAAAGCUGGACAAGGGAAUCCCGUGAAAUUCGGGAACGAGCCCGUCGCUGUAACCGGGGACGAACACGGCAAAAUGCCACUGAUUGUUUUUAAACUUAAAGAUUGGGAAGGCGCCGUCAGUAGAAGGAUCCGGAAGUCAGAAAACCUGUCUGAAAAAUGAACCCGUA
Molecule: non-coding RNA, 193 nt
Filed under: Desulfocicer vacuolatum
Lineage: Bacteria; Pseudomonadati; Thermodesulfobacteriota; Desulfobacteria; Desulfobacterales; Desulfobacteraceae
Source: RNAcentral